AACUUUGUGCAGUGGCAGUAUCAUAGCCAAUGAGGUUUAUCAGAAGCGUAAUUGUUGCUAAUUGAGAACUAAGAGCAGAGUAGGGUUAUAGGAGUCUUAAGCUGUUUUUGUUUGCUAAUUGAUCUUACCUAUAGAAAAAG
Mustela erminea (ermine) is the source of this 140-nucleotide small nuclear RNA. RefSeq annotates it as U4 spliceosomal RNA. The transcript has a single exon. NCBI's taxonomy places the organism in Eukaryota, Metazoa, Chordata, Mammalia, Carnivora, Mustelidae. The record is from RefSeq and is a predicted model, not a curated record.